Molecule: ribosomal RNA, 86 nt
Filed under: Zobellella endophytica
Lineage: Bacteria; Pseudomonadati; Pseudomonadota; Gammaproteobacteria; Aeromonadales; Aeromonadaceae
Description: partial 16S ribosomal RNA
Rfam family: Bacterial small subunit ribosomal RNA
Source: RNAcentral
UACCACGGAGUGAUUCAUGACUGGGGUGAAGUCGUAACAAGGUAACCGUAGGGGAACCUGCGGUUGGAUCACCUCCUUACCUUAAA